GACGAACGCUGGCGGCGUGCUUAACACAUGCAAGUCGAACGGUAAGGCCCUUCGGGGUACACGAGUGGCGAACGGGUGAGUAACACGUGGGUGAUCUGCCCUGCACUUCGGGAUAAGCCUGGGAAACUGGGUCUAAUACCGGAUAGGACCACUGCCGCAUGGGUGGUGGUGGAAAGCUUUUGCGGUGUGGGAUGGGCCCGCGGCCUAUCAGCUUGUUGGUGGGGUGAUGGCCUACCAAGGCGACGACGGGUAGCCGGCCUGAGAGGGUGACCGGCCACACUGGGACGGAGAUACGGCCCAGACUCCUACGGGAGGCAGCAGUGGGGAAUAUUGCACAAUGGGUGCAAGCCUGAUGCAGCGACGCCGCGUGAGGGAUGACGGCCUUCGGGUUGUAAACCUCUUUCAGCACCGACGAAGCGCAAGUGACGGUAGGUGCAGAAGAAGGACCGGCCAACUACGUGCCAGCCGCCGCCGUAA
This 477-nucleotide ribosomal RNA is filed under the name uncultured bacterium. Its description in RNAcentral is "partial 16S ribosomal RNA". It matches the Rfam family "Bacterial small subunit ribosomal RNA", at positions 28 to 523 of the family's 1533-position model. The record is from RNAcentral.